CUUUAAAAGACGAAUCCUGCACCAUGAAAUCUUGCCUCUCAUUUAGCCAUGUGUCAAGCAGAGAAAACAGCCACGUUUGUAGCAUACUACCAGGCCACGUUUCCUUGCAAGUUGCAAUAGCUUCUAAACUGGUUAUUGUUCCAGCAAACAUAUUCUAGAACUCUCCAAAUACAAGCUUCCAAACUGGCUAUUGUUCCAGUAAACAUAUUCUAGAAUUCUCAAAAUACAAUACAUUCCAGAUAACUCUCCCAUCUUCCAACAAGUAUAUAUAUCCUAUUACGGAGUACUCUUUAAUGCCAACAACUUGAGUCAUUCAUCCCUCAAACUCUUCCCGGUCAUCAACCUUCGCAAUUACAUUUCACCGGUUUAACGUCUUAACCGGUGAACGCCAACACCACCAACUGUCAACAUCAAUAACAAACUGAGGUUCCCCAUCUGGGAUCACAAGGUAAUAACCACUUUUCUCCUUACUUUUAUAUAGCAGCAACCCUUCCAUAUCCUGAACUACUCAUGUCUAGAAGAAAACGAGACACACUAGAAGAAGAACGAGAUCUGCUGCCACCCCAAUCUCCUAUAUGGAAAAAAUAAAAUAAAAAAAAAUAUAGUAAUAAUAAUAAGGUAAAAAAAUAUAGUAAUAAUAAUAAGGUAAAAUACACACUAAUUUUAGUUAUAAGCACCAAAACCACUUCAUCUGUUAGCACCUUCUGAUAAUUUAUUAGAUCAUAUAUAUAUAUAUAUAUAUAUAUAUAUAUAUAUAUAUAUAUAUAUAUAUAUAUAUUACUAACUCUUCUUUUCCUGUUAUACAACCACAAAUACAAUUUUCAUUAUAGAAAUGAAAAGGAGAGCAUCUCAGUCUGAUGAACUUUAUAGUAGUAACUACAAAAAACAGAAACAAACAUAUUCGGUUGACAAAAACAAGAUACGCGCGAAAGUAGAAAAGCGAAAACGAGAGCUAGAAGAAAAGAAGAACAGCCAGAUUAUACAAGAAGCUAUAAAACGAAGAUGCAUACAAAUAGAUAAGAAACAUACAUACUUAUCUUUACCUUAUGGCAUGAUAUACUUCUCUCCCGAGCAAAUUCAAUACCUAAAAGAAACAUAUGAGCAAAGAUCAUACUUGGGAAUACCAAAGUACAGUUGCCAAUAUUGCAAUGCAAUAUUUUGGUAUGAGGAACGCAAUAAAUAUCAUAGUGAACGAGCUAACAGACAAGUAUUAUAUUCGAACUGCUGUAAAUAUGGCAAAAUCAAAAUACCUCCAUUCAAAGAACCACCACAAUUUCUUAAAAGGUUAUUGGAUUACAAAGGAGAUGGAUACUCGAGACAUUUUAUACAAAAGAUACGACAAUAUAAUAGUAUGUUUGCUUUCACAUCUAUGGGAGGCAAUAUCGACAAAAAUAUUAAUAAGGGAGAAGGACCCUAUGUAUUUCGAAUAAAUGGUCAAAUACAUCAUCGCAUAGGAUCAUUGUUGCCCGAUACAAAUAAUAAAAUACCUAAGUUUGCUGAGCUAUAUAUAUUUGAUACAAAAAAUGAGAUCGAAAAUAGAAUACGGGCCUUAAGCAAUGAAGAUCCAGAUGGAACAGAUCUUAACCCAGCUAUAAUUGAAGGAUUACAGAAAAUGCUUGAUGAAUAUAAUCCUUUAGUGAAAGUAUUUCGUCAUGCACGUGAUCUACUUGAAGAACAUAAAGGUAUUGAUAUUAGUAUCCGAAUCAUUGGAGCCAAUAAAGGCGAUCAAAUACAAUACCAAAUGCCACACCCAGAAGAACUAGCUAUGUUAAUUAUAGGUGAUCUAACACUGGAAAACUAUAAAAGGGAUAUAAUUGUUAGUACCCGAACCAAGACACUACAACAUAUAUCUAUAUUUCAUCCAGCAUAUAUGCCAUUGCAAUAUCCGUUAUUAUUCCCUUAUGGAGAAAGAGGAUUUCAACUAGGCAUAGAAUAUCAUGAAGAAACAAGAAAUCGAAGAAAUCAAACAACUCAGCAAAAAAGAAACACAGUAACAAUGCAUGAAUUUUUUAAAUACCAUAUGCACUACAGACAUAACCAACCAAACCCAUAUUUAUGCUAUGGACGAUUAUCAAAACAAGCAAUCGUAGAUGCAAGAGCAAUGGAAGAUGAGGAUAGACUUCAAUUCAUUGCAAGAAAUCAAAAAAAAUUAAGAGCUGAAUGUAUACAGGGAAUAUUUGAUGCAAUAGAGAAAGGAAUAGAUGAAGGAAAUCAAAUAGGAAAAAGAGUUCUAUUACCCUCUAGCCACGUUGGUUGUAGACGUUAUGUAAUACAAAAUUAUCAUGAUGGUAUAGCUAUAUGUCGUGUAUAUGGACCACCGGAUCUUUUCAUAACAUUCACAUGUAAUCCCAAAUGGCCAGAAAUAUCGCUAGCAAUAUUAAAUGGCGAGCAACCUAAUGAUAGACCUGAUAUUAUAGUGCGUGUAUUUCAUAUCAAACUACAACAAUUAUUAAAUGACAUACGCUCAGGCACGCUCUUUGGUCCUAUAUUAGCAAUACUAUAUUCUAUAGAAUUCCAGAAAAGGGGUCUACCGCAUGUUCAUAUCUUAGUUUGGGUGGAAAAAAAUGGAAACGAAGUGACAAUUGAGAAUAUUGACACCUGGAUAACUGCUGAAAUACCUGACCCCAGAAAAGAUCCUUUGGGCUAUAUACUUGUAUCUGAACACAUGAUGCAUGGACCAUGCGGAGAAAAAAACUGGGAUUGCCCAUGUAUGAAAAAGGGGAGAUGCUCUAAAUUCUAUCCUAAAGAAUUUCAAGAAGAGACUACUUUCACAGAUACAGGCUUCACAGUGUAUCGAAGACGAGACACUGGUAUUUUCAUCCGAAGAGAUGCCCACAACCUAGAUAAUACAUGGGUAGUUCCACACAAUCUAGAAUUACUCAAGAAAUACCAGGCACACAUAAAUGUAGAAUAUGUAAACAAGAGUAAAGUUUUAAAAUACUUGUGCAAAUAUGUAAACAAAGGUCCUGACCAAGCAAAAAUAAUCUUUGAACGUAUCAAAAAAGGUCAAGAUGCACCCAUUAAUCAACAAACCAAAGAUAUUGAUGAGAUCAAAGAAUAUCUGGAUUGUAGAUAUAUAUGUGAACAAGAUGCACUCUGGAGAUUACUUGGUUAUGAGAUACACUAUCAUUGGCCACCAGUUGAAAGAUUACCUGUGCAUCUACCACUGAUGAAUAUAGUUAAAUAUAAAAAGGAUACUAAACUAAGAGAUGUAAUUAAUGAUCCCAAAAAUAAAAAAACAAUGCUCACUGAAUGGUUUAGUGCUAACAAAGAAUAUAAUAGUGCAAAAGAUCUUACAUAUUGUGAAUUUCCACUUAAAUGGAGAUGGGAUGAAACAAACAAGAAAUGGAUCAGACGUCAGCACGGGUUUAAAAUAGGUAGAUUAUACUAUGUGAACCCAACAGAAGGAGAACGAUUCUAUCUACGCAUGCUCUUAAUGAUAGUAAAAGGUGCAACGUGCUAUACUGACCUACGAACACAUAAUGGUAUUAUUUAUGAAACCUUUAAAGAAGCUUGUGCAACACGAGGAUUACUAACCGAUGACAAUGAGUGGUACAAGACAUUUGAAGAAGCUACAAACUGGGCAACAGCUUCUCAACUACGAAGCUUAUUUACAACAAUGCUUACAUUCUGUGAAAUAAAGAAUGAAAGAGAAUUCUUCAACAAAAAUUGGCAAAAAAUGGUUGAUGAUAUUGAGCAACAAGUAAAACACAAAUAUUAUCCAAUUGAAUAUAUCCCAACUCAAACUGAACUACAAGAUUUAUUACUAGAAGAAUUAGAAGAAAUUUUUUCAAGGAACGGACAACAGAUAAAUAAUUAUAAUCUCCCACGUAGAUCAAUAUAUCAUGAAUUUGAUACUAACAAUCGAUUAAUUCAAGAGGAAAUGAACUAUGAUGUCCAAUAUCUAGAAAAAGAGGCAAAUAAAUUAUACACACAGCUAAAUAAAAGUCAAAAAGAAGCUUUUCAUCAAAUAGUUGAAAGUGUACUAAAUAACAAAUCAAGGUUUUACUUCAUCUCCGGCCAUGGAGGAACUGGAAAAACUUUUCUGUGGAAUACAAUUGUAUCAUAUCUCAGAGCACAAAAGAAAAUAGUACUAGCAGUUGCAUCAUCAGGGGUAGCUUCUUUGUUACUCCCAAAUGGUCGUACAGCCCAUUCAAGAUUCCGAAUACCCAUUGAAACAGAUGACAUAUCCAUAUGUGAUAUAAAACAGGGAACAAAACUUGCUAAGCUAAUUAUAGAAACUUCUCUCAUAAUAUGGGAUGAAGCUCUAAUGACAAACAAACAAUGCUUUGAAGCAUUUGAUAGAUCACUAAGAGAUAUAAUGUCUGAAAUCAAUAAAGAAGCUAGUGACAUACCAUUUGGAGGGAAGGUCGUUGUUCUAGGUGGAGAUCCUAGACAAAUACUUCCUGUUAUAGAAAAUGGCUCAAAGUCACAGAUCAUAAAUGCUUCAAUUAUCAAAUCCUACCUAUGGAAAAACGUAAACACUGUAUAUCUAAAUGAAAACAUGCGACUAAAACAGAUAAAUCAAAGUAGUGCUGAAUACAAGGAGUUAGAGUCUUUCAAUGAUUGGAUGCUAAGCAUUGGCGAUGGAACAAUCAAAGGGACAUCUGAUACUGAUAAGGCCUCUGAUUCUGUGCUAAUAGAAAUAUCAGAAGAACUACUGGUACAAACUACAGGGGAUAAAAUAAAAGCAUUGGUAGAGUCCACUUAUCCAGAUUUUCAAGAAAAUUUUCAACGAUUAGACUAUGUGAAAGAAAGAGCUAUACUAGCAACUACCAAUGAAAUUGUUGAUGAAAUAAAUAAUUACAUGAUAAAAUUACUCCCUGGCUUAGAAAAAGAAUAUUUCAGUGCAGAUAGUAUAUCAAAAUGCUCAGAUACAUAUAACGAUGCCAAUAUUUUAUAUCCCGUUGAAUAUCUUAAUACACUCAAUCCUAAUAACUUUCCACCUCAUAAACUACUACUAAAAAUUGGUGUCCCAAUAAUGCUAUUGAGAAAUCUCAACCAGAGCUUAGGCCUAUGCAAUGGGACGAGACUAAUAGUGACUAAUCUAGGGGAUAAUAUUAUUGAAGCUGUUAUAAUUACAGGAACACAUGCUGGAUAUAAAACAUAUAUACCGAGAAUAAAUCUAACGACAAGAUCAUCCCAUUGGCCCUUUACGUUAAAUCGCCGUCAAUUUCCAAUUAAAGUUUGUUACUCUAUGACUAUUAACAAGAGCCAAGGACAAACACUAUCAAAAGUAGGAAUAUAUUUAAAAAAACAAGUAUUUACGCAUGGACAGCUAUAUGUUGCAGUGUCACGUGUUACAAGCAAGAAAGGUCUAAAAAUAUUAAUAGAAAAUGAGAAUGGAUCUUGUGGAUCAAAAACAAAGAAUAUAGUAUACAAAGAAGUACUCCAAUCAAUAUAGUUUACAUAACUGAAAAAUAUUCUGGAUAAUUACAUUUAAUAGAGAUAACUCCUGUAGUCUCAUAUGAUCUAAUCAAAGCGACACAACACACCCGUUUACAAUACAAUUACAUUAUCUUUGUUCAAGAAUAUCAAUAACAUAAAUUUUUAAAUUUGCAGGUACAUUGGUAAACUACAGACAUGGAGGUUUAGCUUAAAUGGAAGUUUUAUGUUUCACAUGAGGUGUCAUCUUCAGCCAAGUCACUACGGAAAUUCAUUCAUGGUUGCUUUUUAUGACAUGAAUUUGUUCCAUACAAAAGAAAACUGGGCAAUUACUAUAUAGUUUCCUGGCUCUUGAGCUUGCCUCCCAUCAGUUCUCAAGAAUGCCGUAUACAAACUACAAAGAAGAAACAAGAGUCGUACCAGACAGUGGAGGUGAACAGUGCCUUUGCAGUUUAUCUGUGCAACAAAGCAAUGACCAAUGCCCUGUCAAAUAUAAAAUAUUGGCUGCCAAGGUUGGUAAUCGCCAAAGAAUGAAGCUGUGACAUACCACAAUGGCCUACCAUGGUGUUCACGACAUUAGAUCGAACACCUAACUGACAUGACCCACGAGUGGGAGAGGCGUCACGCACCUGGAACUGUCCGCAUCCCGCGUCGGGGAACCCGUCACGCCCGCACCGGCGAGCAGCUGCGCUGUGUCCAACUCACUAUCCCGCCAUGGCCGGGGGUCAGUGCGUGCCACCUCGCCCCACUGCGCCUUGCCGUGGCUGCCUCGCCGGACGGCCGCGGCCAGUACUAACAGGGGGCUAGAAGCUAGCGCCUAUGGGCCUGCCCUGCCGCCGCUUGCUGAGAAUAGGGCACCA
RNAcentral lists this long non-coding RNA (6245 nucleotides) under Sorghum bicolor (sorghum). Its description in RNAcentral is "long non-coding RNA (SBIC_LNC011274)". Lineage: Eukaryota; Viridiplantae; Streptophyta; Magnoliopsida; Poales; Poaceae. The record is from RNAcentral.